GGCCAUAAAUACGUUGAAACACCGGUUCUCGUACGAUCACGAAGUUAAGCAACGUCGAGUUUGGUCAUUACCUCGAUGGGUGAAUGUUUGGGAAUGCUACGUACUGUA
Acanthosepion pharaonis is the source of this 108-nucleotide non-coding RNA. Lineage: Eukaryota; Metazoa; Mollusca; Cephalopoda; Sepiida; Sepiidae. The record is from the annotation of a GenBank genome assembly.